This 254-nucleotide ribosomal RNA is filed under the name uncultured bacterium. Its description in RNAcentral is "partial 16S ribosomal RNA". It matches the Rfam family "Bacterial small subunit ribosomal RNA", at positions 524 to 776 of the family's 1533-position model. The record is from RNAcentral.
UACGUAGGGGGCGAGCGUUGUCCGGAUUUAUUGGGCGUAAAGAGCUCGUAGGCGGUUAGGCAAGUCGGGUGUGAAAACUCCGGGCUCAACUCGGAGACGCCACUCGAUACUGCUAUGACUCGAGUCCGGUAGGGGAGUGCGGAAUUCCUGGUGUAGCGGUGAAAUGCGCAGAUAUCAGGAGGAACACCGGUGGCGAAGGCGGCACCCUGGGCCGGAACUGACGCUGAGGAGCGAAAGCGUGGGGAGCGAACGGG